CAUGCACUAUCUAAAACAAAUACACAAUCCAGUUUACAAUGCCUAUUCAGAAUGAAGCCCCUGCAAGAUCAACAGGGCCUACUCCCAGCAUCAAGACAAUGCAGCAGAUGGCUGUUUUCACAAGACUCCUGCUACCUUCUCCCAUUGCCCAUUGCUAAAUACAGCUCGUACCACCUUCCAAAAGCCAGACUACAUUCAUUAGAUUCAGCCUCAUACUACCAUCUGGCGCAAUCACAGAGACUGCUGGAGCCUAUUCAGUUUUAAUAUGUCAGAACAUUCUCUUGAAGAAUGCGCAAUAACAAAUCAUGAACCCCUCAGAUCAUCA
Molecule: long non-coding RNA, 325 nt
Organism: Lacerta agilis (Sand lizard)
Lineage: Eukaryota; Metazoa; Chordata; Lepidosauria; Squamata; Lacertidae
Exons: 2
Source: RefSeq, a predicted model, not a curated record